GACAGAGGCCUCGAGCGUUAGGCGGAAUCACUGGGCUUAAAGCGUGUGUAGGCGGGCCCGUAAGUGUCUUGUGAAAUCCCACGGCUCAACCGUGGAACUGCUGGGCAUACUGCGGGUCUUGGGCCAACUAGGGGCAGCCGGAACAAGCGGUGGAGCGGUGAAAUGCGUAGAUAUCGCUUGGAACGCCGAAGGUGAAAACAGGUUGCUGGGGGUGUGCUGACGCUGAGACACGAAAGCCAGGGGAGCGAACGGG
This 253-nucleotide ribosomal RNA is filed under the name uncultured bacterium. Its description in RNAcentral is "partial 16S ribosomal RNA". It matches the Rfam family "Bacterial small subunit ribosomal RNA", at positions 524 to 776 of the family's 1533-position model. The record is from RNAcentral.